This is a non-coding RNA of Deltaproteobacteria bacterium, 72 nucleotides long. NCBI's taxonomy places the organism in Bacteria, Pseudomonadati, Myxococcota, Myxococcia. The record is from Rfam.
GGGCGGUUAGCUCAGCGGGAGAGCAUCGGCCUUACAAGCCGGGGGUCACAGGUUCAAAUCCUGUACCGCCCA